Molecule: ribosomal RNA, 927 nt
Filed under: Halomonas sp. 62S-9
Lineage: Bacteria; Pseudomonadati; Pseudomonadota; Gammaproteobacteria; Oceanospirillales; Halomonadaceae
Description: bacterial SSU rRNA
Rfam family: Bacterial small subunit ribosomal RNA
Source: RNAcentral
UACCAUGCAAGUCGAGCGGUAACAGAUCCAGCUUGCUGGAUGCUGACGAGCGGCGGACGGGUGAGUAAUGCAUAGGAAUCUGCCCGGUAGUGGGGGAUAACCUGGGGAAACCCAGGCUAAUACCGCAUACGUCCUACGGGAGAAAGGGGGCUUCGGCUCCCGCUAUCGGAUGAGCCUAUGUCGGAUUAGCUAGUUGGUGAGGUAACGGCUCACCAAGGCCACGAUCCGUAGCUGGUCUGAGAGGAUGAUCAGCCACAUCGGGACUGAGACACGGCCCGAACUCCUACGGGAGGCAGCAGUGGGGAAUAUUGGACAAUGGGGGGAACCCUGAUCCAGCCAUGCCGCGUGUGUGAAGAAGGCCCUCGGGUUGUAAAGCACUUUCAGCGAGGAAGAACGCCUAGCGGUUAAUACCCGCUAGGAAAGACAUCACUCGCAGAAGAAGCACCGGCUAACUCCGUGCCAGCAGCCGCGGUAAUACGGAGGGUGCAAGCGUUAAUCGGAAUUACUGGGCGUAAAGCGCGCGUAGGUGGCUUGAUAAGCCGGUUGUGAAAGCCCCGGGCUCAACCUGGGAACGGCAUCCGGAACUGUCAAGCUAGAGUGCAGGAGAGGAAGGUAGAAUUCCCGGUGUAGCGGUGAAAUGCGUAGAGAUCGGGAGGAAUACCAGUGGCGAAGGCGGCCUUCUGGACUGACACUGACACUGAGGUGCGAAAGCGUGGGUAGCAAACAGGAUUAGAUACCCUGGUAGUCCACGCCGUAAACGAUGUCGACCAGCCGUUGGGUGCCUAGCGCACUUUGUGGCGAAGUUAACGCGAUAAGUCGACCGCCUGGGGAGUACGGCCGCAAGGUUAAAACUCAAAUGAAUUGACGGGGGCCCGCACAAGCGGUGGAGCAUGUGGUUUAAUUCGAUGCAACGCGAAGAACCUUUAC